GAGACAGAGACACAGAGAGAGAGAGAGAAACAGAUAGACACUCAGACAAGCAGACAAAUAAAGACUAAUUAGAAGUAAAGGGAAGAUAAGUACAAGGGUAGUUUAUAUUCGUGUAUUCUGUCAUUUUCACGUGCAAAACGGGUGCAUAUACGGAUACCGUACCCAUAUACGCACUGUACGUGUACAUAUGCACAUGUUUGAAUGUUUUGUUUGUGCACAAUAUAUAUGUAAUAUUUUCAGUCUGGUAAUUACAUUAUUCUGAUUGUUAUUAUCAUAAAACGACAGAUUGUCACUAUAUUGUCCUUAUCUUGCGGGUUAGAUUCUUACAGAUUUGGUUCAGAUUUUAAUCACGUUUUCGAAAAUAUAAGUUCUCUGUUCCUGUAAUUGUUAUAGAAAGCACCAGUCAAUCAUUUAUUUAUCGUGCAAUUGUUGUUAAAAUUUAAUGAUUUUUGAAAUCUGUGAAAUACUCUUAGAAUGUAUAAAAAAAAAUGUGAGAGUAAUUGGUGUUAAGAUUUGUUUCUGAAAUCUGUGAAAUACUCUUAGAAUCUAAAAAAAAAUGUGAACUUACUGUUGAAUAUGAUACUCAUCAAGUACGACUCCAAAUUAAAAGUGUGACCUUCCCUUAAGUGUGGUUCCAAGCCUGCAGAUUUCACCCUCAAACCUCCAAGUGUGAACUCAACCUUCAAGUGUGAUUUAAACUUCACCCUCUACCAAACCUUUCAAUUCUCCAAGUGUGCUAUAAGGGUGCGAGUGUGACUAUCAUAACCUUCUAGAAUGACCUCUGCUGCCGAGUGUGUCUCCAGGGUCCUGAAAAGGUGUUAAAAGGACGAGCUCAUAUGUGGCUGGUCUUCUGUGCUGAUCGAUUGGUACUUCGUCCUUCAAGUAUGAGAUCAGCUGGAGUUGGUACUUCAAGUAUGAGUACGUCCUUCAAGUAUGAGAUCAGCUGAAGUCAGUGUGAAGGAGGACCAGAGACAGCCACAUGAAGUCACAUCUUCCUCGAAAGCAAAGGCACUUCACACUUAGACAUGACACACUCAGAGACUUCAGAAUCCAGCUUGGGAUGGUUACACUUCGAGGAUGAAACGUCACACUCGAAAGUGAUGGAUAUUGCACACUGAAGGGUUAGGUUCUCACGCUUCAGAGUCAUUCUGAAACAUAUCCCACUUCAUGUUUAUGUUACGGAAGUAGAUUUAUAUGAAAAUGUACGUCGACUAGAUAAAUAUGUGUGUGUGUGUAUGUGUGUGUGUGUGUGUGUGUGUGUAUGUGUGUGUGUGUGUGUGUGUGUGUGUGUGUGUGUGUGGGUGUGUGUGUGUGUCACACUUAAUGUUUAUUAUUACGAAAAUGUAUUCAUAUAAGAAUGGAGGUAGACUAAAUAGAUAUAAUUAGAAGCAGGUAGAAAUAUGCAGAUAGGUAGACUGGUGACUAUGUAGCCCGAUAAAGUGAUACGUAAAUUGAUAAGAUUUUGUGCAUUAAUACUUCUUAAAUGCUGCAAGUUAUAUCAUGUAUUUUAUCUGAUUUACAAUCUAUGUAUCUAGAUUUUGACAUUUUUCAGAUAUCAAAUUACAUCAAAUGUUAUUCAUCCAUACAUCAUCGCAUCUAUUUGUUAUUUUUAUUAAUAAAUUUGUAUAUUUUUGA
This is a long non-coding RNA of Penaeus vannamei (Pacific white shrimp), 1635 nucleotides long. RefSeq lists it as uncharacterized. Lineage: Eukaryota; Metazoa; Arthropoda; Malacostraca; Decapoda; Penaeidae. The record is from RefSeq and is a predicted model, not a curated record.